This 848-nucleotide ribosomal RNA is filed under the name uncultured bacterium. Its description in RNAcentral is "bacterial SSU rRNA". It matches the Rfam family "Bacterial small subunit ribosomal RNA", at positions 8 to 845 of the family's 1533-position model. The record is from RNAcentral.
AGAGUUUGAUCCUGGCUCAGGAUGAACGCUAGCGGCAGGCUCAACACAUGCAAGUCGAGGGGCAUCGGGAGGGAAGCUUGCUUUCCUUGCCGGCGACCGGCGCACGGGUGAGUAACACGUAUGCAACCUGCCCUCUUCAGGGGGACAACCUUCCGAAAGGGAGGCUAAUCCCGCGUAUAUCGGUUUCGGGCAUCCGAGAUCGAGGAAAGAUUCAUCGGAAGAGGAUGGGCAUGCGGCGCAUUAGCUUGACGGCGGGGUAACGGCCCACCGUGGCGACGAUGCGUAGGGGUUCUGAGAGGAAGGUCCCCCACACUGGUACUGAGACACGGACCAGACUCCUACGGGAGGCAGCAGUGAGGAAUAUUGGUCAAUGGGAGAGAUCCUGAACCAGCCAAGCCGCGUGAGGGAAGACGGCCCUAUGGGUUGUAAACCUCUUUUGUCGGAGAACAAAACCCGGGACGUGUCCCGGACUGCGUGUAUCCGAAGAAAAAGCAUCGGCUAACUCCGUGCCAGCAGCCGCGGUAAUACGGAGGAUGCGAGCGUUAUCCGGAUUUAUUGGGUUUAAAGGGUGCGUAGGCGGUCCGUUAAGUCAGCGGUAAAAUUGCGGGGCUCAACCCCGUCGAGCCGUUGAAACUGGCAGACUUGAGUUGGCGAGAAGUACGCGGAAUGCGCGGUGUAGCGGUGAAAUGCAUAGAUAUCGCGCAGAACUCCGAUUGCGAAGGCAGCGUACCGGCGCCAGACUGACGCUGAGGCACGAAAGCGUGGGGAUCGAACAGGAUUAGAUACCCUGGUAGUCCACGCAGUAAACGAUGAAUGCUGGGUUGUCGGGUCGAAUGAAAACCUGGGCG